AGUGAACGCUGGCGGUAGGCCUAACACAUGCAAGUCGAACGGCAGCACAGUAAGAGCUUGCUCUUACGGGUGGCGAGUGGCGGACGGGUGAGGAAUACAUCGGAAUCUACUUUUUCGUGGGGGAUAACGUAGGGAAACUUACGCUAAUACCGCAUACGACCUACGGGUGAAAGCAGGGGAUCUUCGGACCUUGCGCGAUUGAAUGAGCCGAUGUCGGAUUAGCUAGUUGGCGGGGUAAAGGCCCACCAAGGCGACGAUCCGUAGCUGGUCUGAGAGGAUGAUCAGCCACACUGGAACGGAGACACGGUCCAGACUCCUACGGGAGGCAGCAGUGGGGAAUAUUGGGCAAUGGGCGGAAGCCUGAUCCAGCCAUACCGCGUGGGUGAAGAAGGCCUUCGGGUUGUAAAGCCCUUUUGUUGGGAAAGAAAAGCAGCAGGUUAAUACCCCGCUGUUCUGACGGUACCCAAAGAAUAAGCACCGGCUAACUUCGUG
Molecule: ribosomal RNA, 492 nt
Filed under: uncultured bacterium
Lineage: Bacteria
Description: partial 16S ribosomal RNA
Rfam family: Bacterial small subunit ribosomal RNA
Source: RNAcentral